AAUAAUAUUCGACCAUUGUUCUAGCCUUUUUCUUAUGGUUUUCUUCAAGUGAUUGCUUCUCCUCAGAUGAGGCCUUGUUUUGCUCUUCUUGAUCGCGCUUUUCUUGCUCAUUCAGUAACAUCAAUGAUGUGAUUAUACCUUUCAACGGUUUUCUCCUCUUCUUGUUGCUGCUGCUGCCGCCGUUAUUGCUGUCUUCUUCAAAUGAAUUGGUGUCAUCCUCAUAGCUUUCUUGCCUAUCUUUACUUUGCCGCUUCCUCAUGGUGUUGGAUUCAUUCAUUUGGCUGAAUGACGACGGAAGCAAGGUAUUGAAAAAGGAGAAGUAGUGUUCUGAGUUGGGUAGAGAAGAAGAGAGUUUCAUAUAGGAAUAGGUGAUAGAAGAAAUGGGAAAAGAAUUG
RNAcentral lists this unclassified non-coding RNA (395 nucleotides) under Hevea brasiliensis (rubber tree). Lineage: Eukaryota; Viridiplantae; Streptophyta; Magnoliopsida; Malpighiales; Euphorbiaceae. The record is from RNAcentral.